GAAACGUAAAUCAUCUCAGAAUUAACCAGAGAACAAUAUCACAAAAUCACAAUCUUGCAGCAUACAUGUCAAAAACUCACUAUGAGAUUUAUACACUUUAGCAUGUUAGUUGUUCCAGUGGAAGCAUGUUAAAGCUGCAGAAAAGAAUCAGCAUCGCACACACCUUCAGUUCUCGGUACGAUUUUUU
Arabidopsis thaliana (thale cress) is the source of this 187-nucleotide non-coding RNA. RefSeq annotates it as other RNA. The transcript has a single exon. The record is from RefSeq. Lineage: Eukaryota; Viridiplantae; Streptophyta; Magnoliopsida; Brassicales; Brassicaceae.